ACGGGAGGCAGCAGUGGGGGAUAUUGCACAAUGGGGGAAACCCUGAUGCAGCGACGCCGCGUGAGUGAUGAAGUAUUUCGGUAUGUAAAGCUCUAUCAGCAGGGAAGAAAAUGACGGUACCUGACUAAGAAGCACCGGCUAAAUACGUGCCAGCAGCCGCGGUAAUACGGAGGAUGCGAGCGUUAUCCGGAUUUAUUGGGUUUAAAGGGUGCGUAGGCUGUUCUUCAAGUCAGAGGUGAAAUACCGGGGCUCAACCCUGGAACUGCCUUUGAUACUGGAGGGCUUGAAUACUGUUGCCGUGGGAGGAAUGAGUAGUGUAGCGGUGAAAUGCAUAGAUAUUACUCAGAACACCGAUUGCGAAGGCAUCUCACGAAGCAGCGAUUGACGCUGAGGCACGAAAGCGUGGGGAUCAAACAGGAUUAGAUACCCUGGUA
Molecule: ribosomal RNA, 434 nt
Filed under: uncultured Coprococcus sp.
Lineage: Bacteria; Bacillati; Bacillota; Clostridia; Lachnospirales; Lachnospiraceae
Description: partial 16S ribosomal RNA
Rfam family: Bacterial small subunit ribosomal RNA
Source: RNAcentral